AGUGAACGCUGGCGGUAGGCCUAACACAUGCCAGUCGAACGGCAGCACAGGAGAGCUUGCUCUCUGGGUGGCGAGUGGCGGACGGGUGAGGAAUACAUCGGAAUCUGCCCAGUCGUGGGGGAUAACUUAGGGAAACUUACGCUAAUACCGCAUACGACCUUCGGGUGAAAGAGGGGGAUCGCAAGACCUCUCGCGAUUGGAUGAGCCGAUGUCGGAUUAGCUAGUUGGCGGGGUAAUGGCCCACCAAGGCGACGAUCCGUAGCUGGUCUGAGAGGAUGAUCAGCCACACUGGAACUGAGACACGGUCCAGACUCCUACGGGAGGCAGCAGUGGGGAAUAUUGGACAAUGGGCGCAAGCCUGAUCCAGCCAUACCGCGUGGGUGAAGAAGGCCUUCGGGUUGUAAAGCCCUUUUGUUGGGAAAGAAAUCUUUCAGGCUAAUACCCUGGGAGGAUGACGGUACCCAAAGAAUAAGCACCGGCUAACUUCGUG
Molecule: ribosomal RNA, 490 nt
Filed under: uncultured bacterium
Lineage: Bacteria
Description: partial 16S ribosomal RNA
Rfam family: Bacterial small subunit ribosomal RNA
Source: RNAcentral